AGUGAACGCUGGCGGUAGGCCUAACACAUGCAAGUCGAACGGCAGCACAGUAAGAGCUUGCUCUUACGGGUGGCGAGUGGCGGACGGGUGAGGAAUACAUCGGAAUCUACUUUUUCGUGGGGGAUAACGUAGGGAAACUUACGCUAAUACCGCAUACGACCUACGGGUGAAAGCAGGGGAUCUUCGGACCUUGCGCGAUUGAAUGAGCCGAUGUCGGAUUAGCUAGUUGGCGGGGUAAAGGCCCACCAAGGCGACGAUCCGUAGCUGGUCUGAGAGGAUGAUCAGCCACACUGGAACUGGGACACGGUCCAGACUCCUACGGGAGGCAGCAGUGGGGAAUAUUGGACAAUGGGCGCAAGCCUGAUCCAGCCAUACCGCGUGGGUGAAGAAGGCCUUCGGGUUGUAAAGCCCUUUUGUUGGGAAAGAAAAGCAGCAGGCUAAUACCCCGCUGUUCUGACGGUACCCAAAGAAUAAGCACCGGCUAACUUCGUG
Molecule: ribosomal RNA, 492 nt
Filed under: uncultured bacterium
Lineage: Bacteria
Description: partial 16S ribosomal RNA
Rfam family: Bacterial small subunit ribosomal RNA
Source: RNAcentral